GUGCUCGCUUCAGCAACACAUACUAAAAUUGGAUCAAGUCAGAGAAAAUUAGCAUGGCCCCUGUGCAUGGAUGACAUGUAAAUUCAUGAAGCAUUCCAUAUUUUU
Small nuclear RNA from Phodopus roborovskii (desert hamster), 105 nucleotides. The record is from RefSeq and is a predicted model, not a curated record. Lineage: Eukaryota; Metazoa; Chordata; Mammalia; Rodentia; Cricetidae.